UUUUCCUUUAAGAAAGGUCCCGUGAGACCUGGAAGGAAUGGUAAUUAGUAUGUAUAAAAUUAAUUAUGUUAUAAAUUAAUUUUAUAUUAUGUGCGGACUAUACCUUCCUUUUGAUAAAAGGAAGGUUUUUUUAU
This is a non-coding RNA of Clostridium sp. HMP27, 134 nucleotides long. Lineage: Bacteria; Bacillati; Bacillota; Clostridia; Eubacteriales; Clostridiaceae. The record is from Rfam.